This 400-nucleotide long non-coding RNA is filed under the name Phoenix dactylifera (date palm). RNAcentral's name for it is "long non-coding RNA (PDAC_LNC021484)". The record is from RNAcentral. Lineage: Eukaryota; Viridiplantae; Streptophyta; Magnoliopsida; Arecales; Arecaceae.
AUAAUUAUAAUAAUAUUAUAUUACAUUGUAGUAAUAUUGUACUAUUAAUAAUACAUUACUAUAUCAUAUCAUAUCAUAAUUAUUUUUAAUAUAUAAUAAUGUAUAAUAUUAUUUGUAUUAUAUUCUACUAUGCAAUACUAUGCAGUAUCCUUUAUUGUCAUUUUGUUAUACCAAAAGCACUUUCUCAUUUUGGUUACUAAACGUAUGUUAAAGUUUCACAGUACUUUAAAAAUAUAGUUAUCAAACAACAAAUAGCUUUUAAUAAAAACUCUACCUCCAAAAUUUCUACUUUUUGAAAGCUCUACUUCUAAAAGCUCUAGAAGCUCUAUUGCUCUACUACCAAUAGCAAUCCCAAAUAGGGCUUAAGGAUAUAAACAGAAGUAGUGAGAGGACAAACUUG